This 406-nucleotide ribosomal RNA is filed under the name uncultured bacterium. RNAcentral's name for it is "bacterial SSU rRNA". It matches the Rfam family "Bacterial small subunit ribosomal RNA", at positions 355 to 776 of the family's 1533-position model. The record is from RNAcentral.
UGGGGAAUAUUGGGCAAUGGGCGCAAGCCUGACCCAGCAACGCCGCGUGAAGGAAGAAGGCUUUCGGGUUGUAAACUUCUUUUAAGAGGGAAGAGCAGAAGACGGUACCUCUUGAAUAAGCUCCGGCUAACUACGUGCCAGCAGCCGCGGUAAUACGUAGGGAGCGAGCGUUGUCCGGAUUUACUGGGUGUAAAGGGCGUGUAGCCGGGCUGGCAAGUCAGAUGUGAAAUCCUGCGGCUUAACCGCAGAACUGCAUUUGAAACUGCUGGUCUUGAGUAUCGGAGAGGCAGGCGGAAUUCCUAGUGUAGCGGUGAAAUGCGUAGAUAUUAGGAGGAACACCAGUGGCGAAGGCGGCCUGCUGGACGACAACUGACGGUGAGGCGCGAAAGCGUGGGGAGCAAACAGG